RNAcentral lists this ribosomal RNA (254 nucleotides) under uncultured bacterium. RNAcentral describes it as "partial 16S ribosomal RNA". It matches the Rfam family "Bacterial small subunit ribosomal RNA", at positions 524 to 777 of the family's 1533-position model. The record is from RNAcentral.
UACGAAGGGGGCUAGCGUUGCUCGGAAUUACUGGGCGUAAAGCGCACGUAGGCGGCUUUCUAAGUCGGAGGUGAAAUCCUGGAGCUCAACUCCAGAACUGCCUUCGAUACUGAAGAUCUUGAGUCCGGGAGAGGUGAGUGGAACUGCGAGUGUAGAGGUGAAAUUCGUAGAUAUUCGCAAGAACACCAGUGGCGAAGGCGGCCAACUGGUCCGGAACUGACGCUGAGGUGCGAAAGCGUGGGGAGCAAACAGGG